Molecule: ribosomal RNA, 778 nt
Filed under: uncultured Neocallimastigales
Lineage: Eukaryota; Fungi; Neocallimastigomycota; Neocallimastigomycetes; Neocallimastigales
Description: partial large subunit ribosomal RNA
Rfam family: Eukaryotic large subunit ribosomal RNA
Source: RNAcentral
GUAGUCUCGCACAGAUGCAUAUCAAUAAGCGGAGGAAAAGAAACUAACAAGGAUUCCCUUAGUAACGGCGAGUGAAGCGGGAAGAGCUCAAAUUUGAAAUCUUCAAGGUUUUACCUUGACGAAUUGUAGUUUAAAGAAGUGUUUUCUGUUGAAGUUUUGGUAAAAGUUCUUUGGAAUAGGACAUCAUAGAGGGUGAGAAUCCCGUAUUUGACCAUUAUUUUCAGCUGUGUGAUACACUUUCAAAGAGUCGGAUUGUUUGGGAAUGCAGUCCAAAAUGGGUGGUAAAUUUCAUCUAAAGCUAAAUAUUGGCGAGAGACCGAUAGCGAACAAGUACCGUGAGGGAAAGAUGAAAAGAACUUUGAAAAGAGAGUUAAACAGUACGUGAAAUUGUCAAAAGGGAAGCGUUUGACACCAGUGUUGUUUUCUCGAAAAUCAAUUAAAAAUGAGCUCGAUUUUGUAUGUGUAUUGAGACCUUAAAAGCUGCACUUUACAAUUUUUCGUGUCUUUUUUAAUGCACUUUUCGUUUAACAAGUCAACAUCAGUUUCUUUUGUUGUAAAAGGUCAUUGGAAGGUGGCUUUCUUUUCGGAGAAAGUGUUUAUAGCCUUUGCCUCUGCAAUCGGAGAGACUGAGGUCUGCAGCGUAGACUCUUCGGGGUUAGAUACAUUUGUGCUAAGUUAUAGCUUUUUAUAGACAACUUGUUGACUAUGAUUAGUCUUGUAGCUUACUCGCUUAUGCUAUUUUACCUACGCUUAGGAUGUUGAAGAUGUAGCACAUCAU